AACAAAUUUCACAGCCUCUUUAAUUCUUCGCAAUAGAAAAAUAAAAUAAAAUAUUUCUUUUUUAUCGUACUUUUUCACUGCACGUAUAAACGAGACCACACUUUCUGAAUUAAACUUAAAAAAAGAUAAAAUCUAGAGCAUUAUCGUUAUUUUAUAUUUAUUUUAAAUGCAUAUUUUAUGUAUACGGCGAAAAAAAAAAAUCUUAAAUAAUUCAACAUUCUUUCUGUGUUCUAUUUUAUAUAAAUAUUUCUUAUUUUUUAAAAUAGCAACAGUACAAAUUACUUAUU
Molecule: long non-coding RNA, 287 nt
Filed under: Ananas comosus (pineapple)
Lineage: Eukaryota; Viridiplantae; Streptophyta; Magnoliopsida; Poales; Bromeliaceae
Description: long non-coding RNA (ACOM_LNC013753)
Source: RNAcentral